AUUCACUCUCGUAUAAAAACACAAAGCAAUGGCUAAGCUCAUUACAACUGUGGAAAUGAGUCGUUUGAGUUUGUGCUUCGCGCUGUUUUCAGUGGCGUUGGUUUUGCUGGAUACGACAACCGCAACACCCACCGAAGCAGAUCAAAGGUUUAAAAGAAGUCCUCAAAUGCCACAAAUGCCGCAACCGCCAUCUCCGCCAAGUGGAUUUCCAAACCCACCAUCUAUGCCAUCGUUCCGAAGAAUCGUUAGGCAGCUCCCGGAGGAUAUACCCGAGGAUGUACCCCACGAGUUUCCUUCGGUGAAUGUUCAAUCGGUGGUCUGAAGCCGACACGUCUCCAAGCUAGAACCCAGCGCCACGUACAUGGAAGUGAACCGAUGGAUCAUGUAAGGACAGAUCGCAGCAGUGGCAGAAUGGUGAAUUAUCGUUUGAAGCGAGAAGCACGUGGUACUGGUGGAAAGUUUCCGAACCGGGGAGGAUGAAUUUCAAUUUUUAAUUUAUACUUAAUGAUGAUUUAAGAAUCACAAGUCGAAUAAAGCUAGCAAUCAAUCAAAAUUUAUUUAGUUCGAAUUUACUGCUUCAGAUUUACGGCCUUCAGAAAUGCAUAACUCAGAAAC
Armigeres subalbatus is the source of this 615-nucleotide RNA transcript. RefSeq lists it as uncharacterized. The record is from RefSeq and is a predicted model, not a curated record. The transcript is spliced from 4 exons. NCBI's taxonomy places the organism in Eukaryota, Metazoa, Arthropoda, Insecta, Diptera, Culicidae.